This 1471-nucleotide ribosomal RNA is filed under the name uncultured Bordetella sp. RNAcentral describes it as "partial 16S-23S ribosomal RNA intergenic spacer". It matches the Rfam family "Bacterial small subunit ribosomal RNA". Lineage: Bacteria; Pseudomonadati; Pseudomonadota; Betaproteobacteria; Burkholderiales; Alcaligenaceae. The record is from RNAcentral.
GGUUCGAUUAUGGCUCAGAUUGAACGCUGGCGGGAUGCUUUACAUGCAAGUCCAGACGGCGGCACGGACUUCGGUCUGGUGGCGAGUGGCGAACGGGUGAGUGUUAUCGGAACGUGCCUAGUAGCGGGGGAUAACUACGCGAAAGCUGGCUAAUACCGCAUACGCCCUUCGGGGAAAAGCGGGGGACCUUCGGGCCUCGCACUAUUAGAGCGGCCGAUGAUAUCCGGACAGCGAUUUGGUGGGGUAACGGCGGCUCCAUUCAGGCGACGAUCCGUAGCUGGUUUGAGAGGACGACCAGCCACGCAGGACUGAGACACGGCCCGAACUCUACGGGAGGCAGCAGUGGGGAAUUUUGGACAAUGGGGAAACCCUGAUCCAGCCAUCCCGCGUGUGCGAUGAAGGCCUUCGGGUUGUAAAAGCACUUUUGGCAGGAAAAGAAACGGCACGGGAUAAUACCCCGUGCAACUGACAGUACCUGCAGAAUAAGCACCGGCUAACUACGUGCUUGGCCGCGGUAAUACGUAGGGGCGCAAGCAGUAAUCGAAUUACUGGGCGCAUAAAGCGUACUGACGGUUCCCGGAAAAGAUGUGAAAUCACGGAGCUUAACAGGUUUCAUUUAACUACCGAGCUAGAGUGUGUGUCAGAGGGAGGUGGAAUUCGCGUGUAGCAGUGAAAUGCAUCAGAUAUGCGGAGGAACACCGAUGGCGAGGCGGCCUCACUGGGAUGACACUGACGCUCAUGCAGCAUUAGAGGGAGCAAACAGGAUUAGAUACCUGGUAGUCCACGCCUAAACGAUAUCAACUGGCUGUUGGGGCCCUUCGGGCCUUGGUAGCGCAGCUAACGCGUGAAGUUGACCGCCUGGGAAAUUACAGUCGCAAGAUUAAAACUCAAAGGAAUUGACGGGGACCCGCUGAAGCGGUGGAUGAUGUGGAUUAAUUCGAUGCAGCACGCUGAAAACACCUACCCUUGACAUGUCUGGAAUCCCGAAGAGAUUUGGGAGUGCUCGCAAGAGAACCGGAACACAGGUGCUGCGCUGGCUGUCGUCGGCUCGUGUCGUGAGAUGUUGGGUUAAGUCCCGCAACGAGCGCAACCCUUGUCAUUAGUUGCUACGAAGGGCACUCUAAUGAGACUGCCGAUGGAAACCGGAGAAGGUGGGGAUGACGUCAAGUCCUCAUGGCCCUUAUGGGUAGGGCUUCACACGUCAUACAAUGGUCGGGACAGAGGGUCGCCAACCCGCGAGGAGCAAUCCAGAAGCCCGAUCGUAGUCCGGAUCGCAGUCUGCAACUCGACUGCGUGAAGUCGGAAUCGCUAGUAAUCGCGGAUCAGCAUGUCGCGGUGAAUACGUUCCCGGGUCUUGUACACCGCCCGUCACACCAUGGGAGUGGGUUUUACCAGAAGUAGUUAGCUAACCGUAAGGAGGGCGAUUACCACGGUAGGAUUCACUGACUGGGGUGAAGUCGUAACAAGGUAG